RNAcentral lists this ribosomal RNA (396 nucleotides) under uncultured bacterium. RNAcentral's name for it is "bacterial SSU rRNA". It matches the Rfam family "Bacterial small subunit ribosomal RNA", at positions 957 to 1353 of the family's 1533-position model. The record is from RNAcentral.
UAACGCGAAGAACCUUACCAGGUCUUGACAUCCUUUGAAGCUUUUAGAGAUAGAAGUGUUCUCUUCGGAGACAAAGUGACAGGUGGUGCAUGGUCGUCGUCAGCUCGUGUCGUGAGACGUUGGGUUAAGUCCCGCAACGAGCGCAACCCUUAUUGUUAGUUGCCAGCAUUCAGUUGGGCACUCUAGCGAGACUGCCGGUGACAAACCGGAGGAAGGCGGGGACGACGUCAGAUCAUCAUGCCCCUUAUGACCUGGGCUACACACGUGCUACAAUGGCGUAUACAACGAGUUGCCAACCUGCGAAGGUGAGCUAAUCUCUUAAAGUACGUCUCAGUUCGGACUGCAGUCUGCAACUCGACUGCACGAAGUCGGAAUCGCUAGUAAUCGCGGAUCAGC